This 373-nucleotide ribosomal RNA is filed under the name Acanthamoeba genotype T4. RNAcentral's name for it is "SSU rRNA". It matches the Rfam family "Eukaryotic small subunit ribosomal RNA", at positions 805 to 1112 of the family's 1831-position model. The record is from RNAcentral. Lineage: Eukaryota; Discosea; Longamoebia; Acanthamoebidae.
UAGCAUGGGAUAAUGGAAUAGGACCCUGUCCUCCUAUUUUCAGUUGGUUUUGGCAGCGCGAGGACUAGGGUAAUGAUUAAUAGGGAUAGUUGGGGGCAUUAAUAUUUAAUUGUCAGAGGUGAAAUUCUUGGAUUUAUGAAAGAUUAACUUCUGCGAAAGCAUCUGCCAAGGAUGUUUUCAUUAAUCAAGAACGAAAGUUAGGGGAUCGAAGACGAUCAGAUACCGUCGUAGUCUUAACCAUAAACGAUGCCGACCAGCGAUUAGGAGACGUUGAAUACAAAACACCACCAUCGGUGCGGUCAUCCUUGGCGUUGGUCUUGCAAAAGGCCAGCGCGGGGGUGGCUUAUCCCGGUGGCACCGGUGAAUGACUCCC